RNAcentral lists this ribosomal RNA (495 nucleotides) under uncultured bacterium. RNAcentral describes it as "partial 16S ribosomal RNA". It matches the Rfam family "Bacterial small subunit ribosomal RNA", at positions 28 to 505 of the family's 1533-position model. The record is from RNAcentral.
GACGAACGCUGGCGGCGUGCCUAAUACAUGCAAGUUGAGCGCUGAAGGUUGGUACUUGUACCGACUGGAUGAGCAGCGAACGGGUGAGUAACGCGUGGGGAAUCUGCCUUUGAGCGGGGGACAACAUUUGGAAACGAAUGCUAAUACCGCAUAAAAACUUUAAACACAAGUUUUAAGUUUGAAAGAUGCAAUUGCAUCACUCAAAGAUGAUCCCGCGUUGUAUUAGCUAGUUGGUGAGGUAAAGGCUCACCAAGGCGAUGAUACAUAGCCGACCUGAGAGGGUGAUCGGCCACAUUGGGACUGAGACACGGCCCAAACGCCUACGGGAGGCAGCAGUAGGGAAUCUUCGGCAAUGGACGAAAGUCUGACCGAGCAACGCCGCGUGAGUGAAGAAGGGUUUCGGAUCGUAAAACUCUGUUGGUAGAGAAGAACGUUGGUGAGAGUGGAAAGCUCAUCAAGUGACGGUAACUACCCAGAAAGGGACGGCUAACGACG